RNAcentral lists this ribosomal RNA (511 nucleotides) under Fragilariopsis kerguelensis. RNAcentral describes it as "partial Bacterial small subunit ribosomal RNA". It matches the Rfam family "Bacterial small subunit ribosomal RNA", at positions 1025 to 1532 of the family's 1533-position model. The record is from RNAcentral. Lineage: Eukaryota; Bacillariophyta; Bacillariophyceae; Bacillariales; Bacillariaceae.
AACUGUGAGACAGGUGCUGCAUGGCUGUCGUCAGCUCGUGCUGUGAAGUGUCGGGUUAAGUCCCUUAACGAGCGCAACCCCUAUCGUUAGUUACUAACGCGUUAUGGCGAGGACUCUAGCGAGACUGCCGGUGUCAAACCGGAGGAAGGUGGGGAUGACGUCAAGUCCUCAUGGCCCUUACACGCUGGGCUACACACGUGCUACAAUGGCGGUGACAGUGGGCAGCUACUUCGCGAGAAGAUGCUAAUCUCUAAAAACCGUCUCAGUUCGGAUUGUUCUCUGCAACUCGAGAGCAUGAAGGCGGAAUCGCUAGUAAUCGCGGAUCAGCAUGCCGCGGUGAAUACGUUCCCAGGCCUUGUACACACCGCCCGUCACACCAUGGGAGUUGGUUUUACCUGACGCCGGUGGGCUAACCAGUUUACUGGAGGCAGCCGACCACGGUAGAGUCAGCGACUGGGGUGAAGUCGGAACAAGGUAGCCGUAGGGGAACCUGCGGCUGGAUCACCUCCUU